This is a long non-coding RNA of Lucilia cuprina (Australian sheep blowfly), 744 nucleotides long. RefSeq lists it as uncharacterized. The record is from RefSeq and is a predicted model, not a curated record. Lineage: Eukaryota; Metazoa; Arthropoda; Insecta; Diptera; Calliphoridae. The transcript has 4 exons.
UACUGUAACAAUAUUUAUAUUGCAAAGCAGUUAAAAAUACUCAAUAUAAAGAGUAUAUAUGAAAUGACUAUUUGUUUUUGUUUUUAUACAUCUUCUUCUUUCCAAAAAAAAAAAAUCCCUUUUUCAUUGUGCUGCCACCUGUUUAAGUUUCUUCUUCUUCUAUUCAGUAGCUCUAUUACAGGGUGCACACGACAAACCCCACCACUCCUGUUAUCCAUCCCUGGACACAGGAUGGGAGGGAAAAAAAGCACCCUAAUAUUUCUGAACAACCCUAAUGUCCUAAAACUUUUCUGGGAUUUUGGGUAUUCCAUUAUUCCCAUACAAAAAAUUUGCGCUAUGGCAACCCUUUAUUCAUUCGAGAACAAAAGUACAACUCUGUACCGCCGUUAAAAACUGGCCAGGCGGCGACGUACUGUGAACAGCUGCUUGAAUGAAUGGUAGAGGAGGAGGCAAAUAAGAAAAAUACUACGCGUGGGUGAAGAAGAAGCACCCAAACAAAAAAAAUAUCAAUGGAUACAACGAGGUUCUGGUGGAUUUCUAUGGCCGUAUAAGGGGAUUUUAAAUAAGAUAUCAUGUUGGCGGCCCUGGGCCUAUAUAAAAAAAACUGAUGGCCGAUUCUGAAAGAUGGCGGAUCGAAGCAGAAUGAAAUGGUUUUGUUCCAGAUGGGCCAGUGGACUAAGGAUUAAGGUGGUUCCGGGAAUUUAAGGUAAGUGUAAUGGAUUAUAUUUGAAAUAUAAAAAGUGG